GUCUUUGAUAUGGGUAAAUUUCUGUUCCUUUGCCAAAAUAUGUUAUGGGAUUUUCAAUUUCUCCAAAUUUGUUAAAUUACAUGAGAAACCCUUGAUUUUCUGUAAGUAGGAAUUUGAGUUAAAGAUUGAACAUUACUUGUUAGAAGACUUAAAAUCUUUACAUAAUUUAUGGGACGAACUUUGUUUAUUCAAGGGUUCUUUAACUAAAAGGAGAUAAGAUUAAGGAAUUGCAAAUUGACGCAGUUCCUUUUUUUUUUUAUUUUGGGAGAAGGUUCAUAUUUUUUCCUUUUAUUAGCCCGCAUUGAUGAUAGAGAUACUCCUCGGCAACCAAACUUGUAUCUUGGAGCAAUAUGAUGGAGUCAUCUGUGUAAGUGAAACAUGUUAUUAAUUUGCCAUUCUAAUACGAUUCUAAUCCCCCUUUUUUCCCAGUUAGACAAAUUAGAAGUUCCUUGUUUAAAGUUUCCGAUUUGUAUUUCUCUUUUUAGUGCGGUACUGCCUAUUGUGUGCAAGGAAGGUCCGAAAAGAAAAAGACAAGAAUGGAGGUAUGCCUGGUGCAUUAUUUUGAUAAUCGAAUCGCCUUUAGCAGGCAUUUUCAAUUAUGCAUUGAUUUGAAGCUGAUGUGUGUUUAAACAUUUGUGUUGUAUUUUCUGGAACGAAGAGAAUGUAAAUAUGACCAGAAGACUUCGAAAGACUUUUUGAAGGUCGAUUAUAUUUCUGAUAUCAUUUUUUCUCGAGUACUGAAAUUUAUCCUCUUCAACGUAGAAAGGAGAUUCUGAGCAACCCUUCUAAACUGGAAUGAUAGUGUAAGCAGUUAUUUUCUUCAUUAUAAUACUUGUCUAACUCUUGCAAAAUAUAGAUAAACAUGUGUUGGCUAUUUUGUUUGAGAUUGCUCGAAAGAUAGGUUUUUGGCAUUGCAGGUUCAUGUUAACUCCAGACAGAAAUUUUGUACAAGUACUAUUAAAUUGUAGUACAUGCAAUGCAAGUUUGAGAGGAGAUACUUGCCGAGAUUUGUGCUAAGCUUUCAACUCCAAAACGUCUCAAGUAGCUUGUAGAACAUUUCUUCCGAUCCUAGAGGCAAUGGUGUACUGUGUUGCUUUACGGUGGGGUGGGAAAAAUAUGCAGGGAAUAUGCAGGGGCUAAAAUUAUAGUUGUUGAGGAUACAUAUUUUUUUAGUUCAUUAAUUAAGGGUUGCCUGUCAUUUGAGUCUACGAGUUCUCAUGUUGAUAUAUCACUCAUUACCACUUGAUUCAAUUCUUAUAUAUUUUAGCAAUUCAAUUCUUAUAUAUUUUAGCAAUUCUUAUAAAUUUCAUUGGUGCAUGAAUUAUCGAAUUUAGACAUGAACAUUUUACCCUUUUAUACCCACAUAACUCAAUUUUACUGUUCUGAGAUAUGCAUUUUGAGGCAUUUGAACAUGUUUUUGUUAUCUAUUUUCACUGACAACUUUUAGUUAAUGGUUGCUAUUAUUAAAUGGUCAAGCAAUUAAGUUUUGUUUUUGAUUCUUUUUUCCCAUUUCUUGCAUACCCUUUUUUCUACUAAUUUCAUAUGUGCAUAAAUGGUCGAAUUUAGACUUUAACAUUUCAUCUUUUUUCCCCCCCUCUAUCCUAUAGCUCAUUUUAACUAUUUUAUGAUACCUGCUCUGAAACAUCUGAACAUUUGUUGAUUAUCUAUCUUCAGUUGAAUAUUAUGUAAUGGUUGCAGCUAUCAGAUGACCGAGCAAAUACGUUAGGUUUUUAAUCAUUUUUCUAUGUUUCUAGCACGCCAUUCCUUCUAUUGCUACAUUAAAGUUUCUACUGGAUUCUCUCCUCUCUUCAUAGUUAUUUUAUUUCACAGCAGUUUUGUUCGCAUUGUUUUUUGCGUCUAUGAUCUAUCUGUGUUUUAUUGUGCUAUAAAAGGUACUACUAGAUUUCUCUCCUCUCUUCAUAGUUCUAUUUAUUCUCACGGCAGUUUUGUUGACAUUGUUUUUUGCCUCUGUCUAUCUGUGUUUUAUUGUGCUAUAAAAUCUCAAUGUGCUAUGUUUUUUGAAUUUGGUUUUUUAGUAAGUAAUUUCAAUCCUUGGUGUAUUCAUGUGCUUAAGCUUGAUGAACUAAUCAUCACUACUAAAAGAAGAGUGUGUUGGUUUUGGCACUGUUUACAUGGAUGCGUGCCAAGUUACAGUUUGCCUUUUUUUUUUUGGUUCCAUAUUUUCAUCCAAUACGUCAUCGUAUUGUACUUGACUUUUCUUUUCUUUCAAGCCAUUUCUCGUUACUCUCUCUGAAAAUCUCUUUGAUAUGUUUCAUCUCUCUUUCUUCUCUGUUGUUCUCCAUUUCCCCAUGCAACUACCGAUGUGUCUUUCACUUUCCCUAUAUUAAACUUACGAUUUUUGUGAAAUGCUUAGCUUUUAAAAUUUAGGGAAUUUUUGGUUUUUUUGGUGUGUGUGUGUGAGUUAAUGAUUUUGAGGUUCAGGUAAUUGGUUCGACUUAGACUACGGAGACAUCUUUUCAUCAACGAAUGAUUCACCGAAAGUGGAGGACAUGGUAAAUGAUGCUGUGGCGAAGGAAUCUGCGACGGAUGAGGUUUGAUCUGUUGAUCUAGCCAUCGAUUAUGGUGCAAAGCAAUUGGAUGUGAAGAUAUCGCCAAAGGCAGCGGUGGAAGGUGAGCCUUUGAGUUCUCCGAUAACUAUAGGUAUGAUUUCUAUAUCUACACGUGCUUUAUCAUGGUUUUUUUUUUUUUUCAAUAUUCUUUAGUGGCUCCCUUCUGGAAAUAUGUUUGGGUUAGUAUAUUCAGUUCUGGGUUUUUAUUAAUCUUCGGUGAAUUGUAUAGUGGACUUGAUGCUAUUCUUUGAUGCUUUNNNNNNNNNNNNNNNNNNNNNNNNNNNNNNNNNNNNNNNNNNNNNNNNNNNNNNNNNNNNNNNNNNNNNNNNNNNNNNNNNNNNNNNNNNNNNNNNNNNNNNNNNNNNNNNNNNNNNNNNNNNNNNNNNNNNNNNNNNNNNNNNNNAAGAUUAUUCAUAUGUUGAUAGCUAUACUAGCACCAUUGGAGUAGAUUUUGUGAAUUUUAUUCUCAUAAUCCUUUAUAUAUGUUGAUGAGAUUACAAAAUAGUUUAGUUAUUUUCAGGUCUUUGGCUAUGUUUUUAUUGAGGUCUAAUGUUAUUAUCCAUAAUUACUGCAAAAAAUUAGGACUGUGGAGCUGGAUAGGAAGACAAUUAAGCUGCAAAAUGUGAGUUCAUUUGACUUGAUGACUACUCUAUAGUUGUGAACAUGAGUUAAUUUGACCAAAUGACUACUUUAUAGUUGUGAAAUUAUAAAAACAUCUAUAUGAAUAUUAUUUUAGUUGUAUGUACUAUUCCUUUACGAUGGUUUUGCUACAUGUAAGCUGUGCUUCAAGCAAAUAAAUUUCGAAAGGGAAAAAAAUGUUUUGGUUUGAGGUUGUGAGGAUAGUUAGGACUCAAUAUUUUUCAUAUUUUUAGUCUAGAUUUAAUUGAUUGAGUUACAAUUGACAUUUCUUGCUAUCGAUAUGGAAUGAUUGGCUAUUAGUCUUCCUUUUUUCCCCCCCCUGUAUGUUUAUCGCUCUUAGUUUUGUCUUUGAGAUGAAGCAAACAGAGAUGGGCAUUUUUCGACAAUCGUAAAGAUUUAUUGCAGAGAUGAAAGUUGUAAUAAACCUCUUGUUAACUUUUGCCAUAAUGGCUGCAUUUGGUAUGAAUUUCCCUGAGAUAUGAAGGCCCUUUGCUCAAAUAUAUCAGAUCCAAUGUAUUGAUGUACAUAAAAUAUUCAUAUCUGUUCUCUACUUUUUGCUUCUAUUGUGGAGAAGCGCAAGAUUGAAAGUGGUUUGUAAGAAUUUUUUUAUUUCUAAUUCAUGUUUCAUAAAAUUUUACGGGAUGUAUUUGCGCAACUUACUCGCAAAUGUGAAAGACACAUUGGCACCCAAUCUGAGGAAUGGGCCAGGUACUCUGAAUUCUGCCCGAAGUUUCUAGGAAUCACCUGUUUUGAAAUUUCUAUAAACAUUUCAAGAAUUGUUAGAUUGAAAUGGUGGCUGUACUUGUUAAUAUGUAAUGCUUGUUUCUUGUAAUCCUUGUAAUAUUUUUGUUAUCACGGUGAAGGUAUGUAUUUAUUUAGAACUUAAAUUUUGUAUUGAAGAAAAUAUUUUUUAAAAGCCAACCACAUGCAUAUUUGUGUUAUAUCUUUGCAUUGUUGAUGCCGUUGUGUGGUUCUUUUACUUGCCAGCAUUUAUAUGCCUUAUUUAGUUGAUCUUGGACGUUCUUACAUGUCCGCUGCAAGUGUCAUGUUCUAUCGGUUUCUAACAUUGCCACAGGAAUUUUUGGAAGAAAAACAAUAUAAUGCUGAAUAAAUCGAGAAAAUCAUUGUAGAAAAGUGUUAGUUUGAAGCUAGUUUGCCAAUUCUCCCUUUUCCUUGGAUGUGCUGAAAGCAGGUACGCAUUUUAAGUUACAACGUGUGAUUUCCUGUUCAAUUUAAACAUAUUGGUAUUUGAAUGGCAUCAGAAUAUGUAACUUGUUAUCCUUCUUAUUUUCUGGUUUAUAUAACUUGGAUGCUGGGAAUUAGAUUGUUUCAGCAACAAUAUCCUUUUUAUUAUUUUAAUCAAUGAGAAUUUGGUGGUCUUUCCUUCAGAUUGGGUGCUUUUAAUCAGUUAGAAACAUUUAAACACGUUCUUUAGGAUCUCUAGCGAAGGAGUUGUUGGUUGAAAGAAUUUGAGCAUUCUGAUCAUUUGGUCGUCAAUACGACAAUGGAGGCAUGUGGAGAUCUACCAAUAGGAGAGACGAGUCAUUGUCUGCCUUUCGUUGUAUGGCAAUGCGUGUAUGUGCAUUGCAUAUCUUUUCAUUUGCUGAUUAAAUAUCUGUCUGUACACAGACCUCUCUUUGUUGUACAUUAUAUGUUUUUGCUUUUGUUCAUUUUGUGAAAAAUUAUACAUUAUUAUAUUUUUAUAUCUUCGUUAUUACAUAGUCAACUAUACCGUAUCACGUGCCUUGCACGUGCAUCUUACUAGUAAGGGAGUUUUAGUUACUGUUCAUAAGCCGAAUGGCCAUAAAAACCAAGCGUUGUUCGAGUCAGCUGGUUAGCCAAGUCGUGGGAGUGGGUGGGUGUAAAAAGAUCUUCCGCUGGAUUGUCUAGAACAUUCGUUUCUUCUUAUUUCUCUCUGGGGUUUUCUAUGUUCUCUCUUGGGUAUCUCAUCUGGCUUCUUUUUCCUUUGUAGAUAUUUAUGGUUUAGUAAAUGGAGAUGAUAAUAAUAAUAAUUUGUGGUUGCGUUGUUUCUCUAGAUCUAUGAUUGUUAAUUACAGAUCUUUUAGUGACAAGAACACUCCAAUUUUUUGCCAAUCGAAAAAGAAGAUGAUGAUUUUGACCUACCCACAAAAGGCUCAGGCGUGGGCCGAUGGUUGAUGAGAAAAAGAUGAAGCCCAAGAACAAUACCUAGUGCCAUGUCGAUGAUGAGAUUGAGGAUUUCUCUCAGGAGGAGGAUAGGCCCUUUGGUAUCAAAAAUUCAAUUUUUGUCUUUGUUUAAGCUUUUAUUUUUUGUCGAAUAUAUGGAAAUGUGGAAAAUGAUAUGAUUUUGCAAUUCUCCAGUAUUUUCUAUUUUUGUUGUUUUAUAUGACAUUUUAGGUUGGUUAGUUCAACAACAAGGAUCUCUGUGAAGGGGAAAUAAAUUUUUUUAUUUCAUUUGGUUAGGAACUAUUAGAUUUGAAAUGGGAUGUGUGAAUAAAUGUUAGUUUUAGUUUACCAAUAGUCCGUGUUAUAUUGAGAUCACUUAAUGAAAUAAUUUUUUUUUUGUCAUUUGGUUAGGAACUAUUAGACAACUAUUAGAUUUGAAAUGGGCUAUGUGAAUAAAUGUUAGUUUUAGUUUACCUCUCCUCCGUGUUAUAUUAAGAUCACUUAAUUAACUCUAAUAUACACGAUCAUCUUUAGUUCUAUGCAAAAAAAUUCCAAUCUCAUGUAGCUCUUGCCUCUUUAGCGUGUGUUUUGUUCUUUUAUAUUCCAG
RNAcentral lists this long non-coding RNA (5961 nucleotides) under Olea europaea subsp. europaea. Lineage: Eukaryota; Viridiplantae; Streptophyta; Magnoliopsida; Lamiales; Oleaceae. The record is from RNAcentral.